Molecule: ribosomal RNA, 433 nt
Filed under: uncultured bacterium
Lineage: Bacteria
Description: partial 16S ribosomal RNA
Rfam family: Bacterial small subunit ribosomal RNA
Source: RNAcentral
AACGAACGCUGGCGGCAUGCUUAACACAUGCAAGUCGAACGAGACCUCCGGGUCUAUUGGCGCAUGGGUGCGUAAUGCCUGGCAAGCUGCUCUUAUGUUCGGAAGAACUCCCUGAUAGGGGUUAUAUUACCGGAUGAUGUCCUCAGACCAAAGAUUUAUUGCGUUUGGAUGGGGCCGCGUUGCGUUAGCUAGUUGGUAGGGUAAACGCCUAUCAAGGUGACGAUCCAUAGAUGGUCUGAGAGAAUGAUCAGCCACACUGGGACUGAGCCGCGGCCCAGAAUCCUACGGGAGGGAGCAGUGGGUGAUAUUGGACAGUGGGCUAAAGCCUGAUCCCGCAAUGCCGGGUGAGGGAUGAUGGCAUUAGGGUUGUAACGCUCUCUUACCCGGAAAGAUAAUGACAGUACCGGAAGAAUAAGCUCCGGCUAACUACGUG